AGCGAGGUAGCUCAACUGGUAGAGUGCCCGGCUGUUAACCGGGAGGUUGUGGGUUCGAAGCCCACCCUCGCUGCCU
RNAcentral lists this transfer RNA (76 nucleotides) under Anaerolineae bacterium. Its description in RNAcentral is "tRNA-Asn". It matches the Rfam family "tRNA". From Rfam's summary of the family: Transfer RNA (tRNA) molecules are approximately 80 nucleotides in length. Their secondary structure includes four short double-helical elements and three loops (D, anti-codon, and T loops). The record is from RNAcentral. Lineage: Bacteria; Bacillati; Chloroflexota; Anaerolineae.